Molecule: long non-coding RNA, 7107 nt
Filed under: Daucus carota (carrot)
Lineage: Eukaryota; Viridiplantae; Streptophyta; Magnoliopsida; Apiales; Apiaceae
Description: long non-coding RNA (DCAR_LNC000606)
Rfam family: Plant signal recognition particle RNA (bases 1-296)
Source: RNAcentral
UGGUAGCGUGGGCUUGUAACUCGAGUGAGAGCUUUAAGAUGGCUGGAGUUUGGCUUGGUUCAGAAGGCUGGGCUCUGUUGAAGUUUGCACAGGCUUGCCCAUUCCAAGUAUGGAGUUGUGCCUUGGCCACCUAGCGAAGGCUCGGGGGUCAAGGUCACUAAAGCGGAAGGCACAGCGCGAGGCUGGUUUCACAGAGCAGCGAUCACUUCCCUCUCUUGUCGGUGGAAGGAUAACAGGCUUGUUCUUGGCAAGUCCAUUUAACACCCGAUGAGCCACUCAAAUCAACAACCAUCUUUUUGUUUUUUUUUGCACCUUGGUGAGAGUCUGGGUAACUGAGUUAGCCUGUAAUAUAAGAACUACACAUGAUCAUCCUUUUUCAACAAUCAUAAUUAUGAUAGAAUCAACAUAUGAAACGAAAUGCCACAAUUGUGUGGAAUCAACAUACGAGAUUUUCGCUAUACAAAGGAAUGUUUGGUUGCUUGCGUUAUGCGGCUUACUUAUCCAACCAUAGGUAAAAUUGUGUUUUGCAUCAGUUAAAUGUGUGUUUCUAAGAUUUCAUUCAAAUUGAUUUGACCUCUUUUAUAUAAGAGUGCAGGUUCUAUAGCUGUUUCAAGGUGAUUUUAUUGUCUUCGGUGAAAUAUCAGAUCAAUAAAAGCUUGUGUUCGUUGAAGGAUCAACAAAAAACUGGGCUUAGGAAACUCUAAACUCUCAAAAGAUGGCAUAAUUAUAAAUGUCGGAUCGAGUCUUUCUAUUGCACUUUGAACCAAUGUGUUUAAACAGUUCUUCCGUCUCGGUUAAUUGGAUACAUAGACAAAUAAUCUCGAUGCAAUUAGGGAUAUGAUAAUCAGUUUACACAUCAAAAACUAUAUCAAUAAAAACAAUUGUCGCAGUUUUGGUACCCGUUGAAGAACAACAUCUACAUAGUAGAAUUUAAUAGCCGACACAACUAAUUUAACCUAAAAUAUUCGAGACUAGAAGUUAAGAUAAUAAACUUUUUCUGAAUGACCAAAGAUCUGGCCGGACUUCGAUAAAAGAAGUUGAUCAUUUCAAGUAUAUACAACACUUUCCGGUUUAGCAGGGGUUUUAGCCUUAGGUUAGCCUCUUCAAGUUUUGUAUAAAGCAUGGUUUGUAGAAUAGGGGCUUGGUUAUAUUUGAAAGAUAUACCAUUCUGAACCCACAUCGAAAAGGAACAAAACAUCAGCCUAACAGUGACCUAUAAAUAACGAGGAGGCUGCGAACUUGCAAAUUACUUACCUGGACAGGGUCAAUGGCUGAUCAAGAAGGGCCAUGGCCUAGGUUAGAGGCUUCCAUUGCACUCAGGAAGGGCUCUCGCCUAAGGUCUACCCAAGUGGUGGAGCCUAUGUCAUAAUUUGUGACAGGUGGAGCUUGCGUUCGCGCAGCUCCGCGCCAAUUCUAGUAAAAAUAUUUUUUGCAUUCAUUUUUUUUUUUGCAUUCAUUUAUUUGAAGCUAAUGUGAAAUUUAAUUAUAGUAUUUGGCAAUUUAUUAUUUAUAAUAUUAACCAAGUUGAGAUCUAUUAAACUAUAUAGUUUCAGGAUUUUAUUUGCCUCAAAUUUUCGGAAGGCCCUUAAAAAAUGAAGUCAUAUCAUUUGAAAAGAAUGUUGAAGUUUUGGUGACACUGAAGAGCAAGGAAUGCAUAGUAGAAUCACAAUUCUUGACAUGACAAGAUCAAGGGACAUGCGAUGAUUGACUAGUAUAAUACGAGCAUGAUUCACAUCUGAUGAAACUUUAGCUUGGAAGGAUUGUUGCCUUCCUCUUAUGGCAUGAUUUAUGGCUGAAUCAGUUGACAGUUGCAGUCUAUUAUGGCAUAGGCAGGAACUAUCUUCUCUCAAUGUAAAUAGGCAGUAUUUGCACAAUUUUCACAAAAUCUGGUGCUAGCUUUCUACCUGGUUCUGUUACGGAGCUAUUCUUAGCACUUCUCUUUGUGAACCAGGAGCUUGGAGCUCUUUUCCGGUUGCUUGCUAAAUCAAGGACUUUACCAGUGUUUCAAGUCUAACUAUACUUUUAAGCUGAAAAAUGUUUAUUUGUGUAAUAAAUUAGAAGUACAAUUAAAAUUAGAAAUAAGUCACAUACUGAAAAAUUCGUUUUAUGUACUCUUUUCUUUAUACACUUUAUUCAGUUACUUAAUUUUUAAAUUUUUUUGACAAAAUUUACCUUUAAGUUAUAAUUUAUCUAUAAAUCACUUUUAUUUUUAUCAUUAUAUUUUUAGUAAUCCAUAAAUCAUUAAUAAAUUAAAAUUACUCAAACAAAUAAUUUGAACUCUAAACUUAAAUCAUAAAUCAAAAUAUUAAAAACAACCAAAUGGUCUCUUAAACAUGCGCGCAAUAUUGUUGCUAAUCUAUUACUCCCCGUCUCAUUUUAAGUGGAAUGUUUUGACUUUCGUCGGUCAAAUUGACCAAUAUUUGAUCAAAGAUAAAGAAUAAAUUCAUUAUUAUUUUAAAAAAUUAAAAAUUACAUUUUAUAUUAUAUUAUAUGUACUUUAUAAUGACAUAAUUUUUUUUACCUUUAAAAAGUAUAUUAUAUGUGUAAAUCUUACGGGGGUGUAUUCGAUUGGGAUUUUAAUGCAUUGUUUUUAGUCUAUGGAUUUUAAUGGAUUGUAUGGGAUUUUGAUUUUUUGCGGAUUCUUGAUGAAAUGUCGCAGAGUUGAUAUGAUUUAGGUACAAUUCUUCGAAAUCCCAUUGAAUUUGGUGGGAUUUCAAAAAACUUAAAAUACACUGAAGAAUGCCACAAAAUCCAUCAUUUUAUGAAAUGAAAAAAAAUCCAUCAGCAUUUGAAUACCAUCAGAUUUUAAUGGAUUUUAAACAAUCCCAAUUGAAUACCAUCGGAUUUUAAAGCAUAAUUUAAAAUCCCAAUUGAAUACCACUAGAUUUUGCAGCAUAGUUUAAAAUCCCAAUUGAAUACCUCAAGAUAUUAAUGGAUUUCAAACAAUCCCAAUCGAAUACCCUUGGAUUUCAUGAAUGCAAAAAAAUGUUUUAAAAUCCCAAUCCAAUACACCCAUCUUUAGUCAAGAUUUGGUCAAUUUGAUCAUUUAAAACUCAAACUGGACAAUUAAAAUGAGACGAGGUGAGUAUUAAAUUGCUGGCUCAAUAAGUCAUCUCUCUCAUGAUUUGUUCUGGGUUUGAACUUGUAGCGCACGAUCGCAAGAGAAAAGAUAUUUAAUUAUAUAUUUUAAAUAUUAUUUUAUCAAUAAUAUUUAAAAUAUUAAAAAACUAGGAAAAUAAGAAUUAGAUUUUCCUACAUUUAACAACACUAACAGAAAAUUGGAAAGAGAUAGUUAAGUUUUAUUAAUUUUACCAUUUUGAACCAGCCCCCAUCGUGUCCUAUAAGUCUUUUUUCAGCAAAUCGAAAGUCAAGUUUCGGGAUUGCAGAAUCACUUAGCCCAGAGCCAGAUUUACGUGUAUGUAGUUUCUUAUACUCGAUUUAACACACACAAACACACACUCGUUGCUUGUGUAAUAUCUCUAGUUGUAUAGAUUCCUGAAUUCAUUGAUGUUAGUGCCAGACCUAAUUUUACUUUGUAAAUACCUUUGAAUUUUGAUCAUACAUCUUUGAUGCUUUUGUUUCUAAUUUUAGAUUCCAGGUCUUAACUUUAAUCUUUUGUUUCAUAGUCUGCUGAAAGUAAUACAACAAGCUGUAUUGUCACAUGAUGAGUAGUUAAGAAUGAAAUCGCAACUUCUGUUAUGUAAUACUAAUCAAAGUUUGUUAGGAUAUUAUACUGUUUUAACCAUUGUUUGAAUUGUUGUUAUCAAUUUUAGCAACUUAUCGUAUUCAGGCUUUCUUACUGUUUUUCUCUCCUCUGACGAGUUGCGGCUUUAAGUCCUUAUUAAGAUUUUUAACAUUGUCCAAUCCAAACCCCUUAUAUUGUACAGGUAAUUGACUGGGCUGAUUAAGCAAUGGCACUGAGAAUGGUAGCAAGGAAUUUUAGAAGUAAGCUUCUGCCAAGUUUAACUCCGGCAUAUAUGUUGCACUCUCAUGCUACAAGUUUCGGUAAGUCUGUUUCCUUUGAAUUUCAAUUUUUACUUUUUUAAGGUUUCCACGAAUUUCCAUCUACAAUCUAAAUGAAUUUGACAGAGUGAUUAUUUGUAAGUUUAUAGGGCAUUCUAGUGUUGUUUAGUUGUUGGACUUGUUAGAAUAUCUUUCUUUUGCCAUCAGUUAUGGAGGAUUUGAAUUUCUAACACUAGUGGUUAGUUAAUAACUUAAUAUGCAAAUCAGUUUUUUGUAGGCUGAGUUAUGUUGAGUCUAAGUCUUUAAAUUUUACUUGGUCGACAUAGUUGGAUGUUGUUUUUGAUAAGAUUGAUGAUAAGGAUCAUUGUGUAUCAUGUUUGUGCUUUACUUAGGUUUUAUGCACUUAUGGGGGUUGCUAUUAAUGCUACUAUUUGACAUAUGUUUUACACAGUUGGGAGCUGACUGCAGCAGUACUAUUUAGUAUUGUUGUUAUAUUAACAUUUGCUUCCAAACAAGGUUCGACAGCUAUUUACUACUGUAAACAGAUGAAGUCUUUUUAAAAACCACAAACCACAGACAUCACAAUGUAAGCAUAAUGCACUUGCAGAUCUCCUAUAGACAUGCCUAGCUUAUUUUUGUUGUCCCCAUCUCGAUUAAUUUUAAAAUAGAUAUGUCAACUGACCUCGUAGUAUUUAACAUCUCCAACACCUGAGGAUGAAGAUGAUGACGGGACUAGUAGCGAGUUGAGUUUGUAAGGUUCAUGAGUAACAUUGUCAUCAAAUAUUAGAUCGCUUUUAUCCUGUGAAUUGAUACUGUAUCUUUGUGUAUGAGUUAUAGUUCAUGAUACCGUCCCAGUUUAAAAACGAUAAAUUCAUAAUAGAUGUGAAUCGUCGUUCGGGACUAUGAGUUGAUGAUUACCCUCCAUUACUAGUUAGUAUUGUUAGUAUUAGGUGGUAGUUUAGUGUUUACUAAUACAUUUUAUUAUAUUCCAGCUGUGUUAUUUUGUAUCUAUAUAUGUAUCUUGUAACUGCAGAGUAAUAAAAUCAGACUUAUGUAUAUUUCUCUGAAUAUUGAUGAGAGUUAUCAGUUUGAGAUUGCUUGGGGGCAGAGAUUGGGCUGUGGUUCAAUCAGCCCAGGGCUGAUGAUCACUGUUCUUGUUGUGUUUAUUAUCAUCUGUUAUAAUCUUAUUCUUCUUAUUGUGCUUCAUCAAAUGAACAUCAGAAAACCUACUUCUGGUUGUUUUCAUUGAUAAGUUCAUGCCACUGUUAAACUGGACUAGUGAAUAGUGAUAUAUGAAAAAAAUGCAUGUGGUAGCUUAAAAAAAACGAAGAGGGAGUUCCCUCUUCCAUUUAAUCUAUUUAGAAGCUAAUAUGCAAAGAAAUGUUCCUUUUCUUCUGGAGUCGUAUGCUUAGUUAUGUCCAACGUCUGCCAAGUAGAUUGUCUUCAUAAGAAGAUAUAAAGAACUGAAAAUCUGUACUUUAUGUAUUGGAACUAUUUGUUCAUUCCAUUGACAUCCAUUCCCAUUGUCAGGAUAUAAAGAAAUACCGGAAGAAGAAAAGAGCAAAAUGGUUGGUAAUGUCUUUACUAGUGUUUCUUCGAACUAUGAUCUUAUGAAUGACCUGAUGAGUGCUGGGUUACAUAGAUUAUGGAAGGAAAGGUUGUAAAUUCUAUACUUUAAAUAUACUCUAAUUUGUAUUAGUCUCGCGUGCUUUUACCAACAAUUAAAUUUAGUUACUUAUAAUUUUCCAGAUUAGUAUCCAAACUAAAUCCAUUUCCUGGAAUGAAGCACCUUGAUAUGGCGGGCGGAACAGGUUUUUAUCAUUUCAACGUAUUGUCUUUCUUAUAAUCACAAUUGUUAUAGCCUGAUAAUGUUAUUUUGAGCAAGGUUCUUACAUGAGAAACUAGGAAAUAAUUAACUCCCUAGUGUGUAUAUGUUUCCAUUAUUUUUCUGAUGCCAUUUGUUCCAAGCAAAUGGAGCAUCGUUUCCAUUCUUUUCUGAUGCCAUAUCACAUAUGUUCCAAGUGAAUGGAGCAUAUUUUUAUGUUUCGGCUGUCUUUCUUUUUUAAGGAGUCAAAAUAUCAUUAAUAUAAUAGAUAUCUUGUUUUAAGUGUCUACAGACUCUGCACGAUGAAGCAGAUAUAUAUGUGUAUGAAUAUAUAAUAUUCGUUAGGUAAAUUUUGUAAGUUUGGCUAAUUGCAGGAGAUGUUGCGUUUCGAAUUCUAGAAAGCGUGAACAGUGUUAGGCAUAAAGCCCUACGAGAUAUGCUCGAAGAUAAUUUCCAGGAAAAAACCCAGAUAUAUGUAUGUGAUAUCAACCCACAUAUGUUAAACGUUGGCAAAAUGCGGGCCCAAGAGGGAGGUAAUAUAGGAGGAGUGUUACAUAGCGAAAAAUUAUAUUUUCUAUUGCCACUUGUAUAGUCUCAUAACAAUGAGUCCUACCUGUUAUUUGUUACAUACUAGCAUCUGUAUUUGUAUCGUUGUAGGCCUAGGAGAAGAUGGAUCUCUUGUAUGGGUUGAAGGAGACGCGGAAGCAUUAAAUUUUGAGGAUGACUCAAUAGAUGGUUAUACGAUUGCUUUUGGUAUUAGAAAUGUGACACACAUAGAGAAAGUUCUUUCUGAAGCUUACAGGUAACUUGCCAACUUGUAUGCUGAUUGGACUUUUAUGUAUGUAUCUGUGUAAAUGUAGCUUGAGUUAAUAUUUUAUGGCUCAGGAAGUCCUCAACCUAAAAUGGGUUUUUUUACCAUAAAAUGUAGCUUGAUCAUAAAAUGGGUUUUUUUUACCAUACUAUUGUUCACAUAGUAAUACUCCAUCUAAAGUUCUUGUAUCUAUACGAUAAAAAGGAUUCAAGGAGACAAUUUCCUAAAAUUUGAACUUGCAGGAAAGUUUGGCAUACAAAUUAAACUUUUCUACACACCAUAAGAAACAAACAUAGAAAGAUAGUAAUUCCACCUUUUCUCUGCUUAGCGAACAUCGCUUCACGUGCCCAACUUUUCUUGUAUUCUGAAGUAUAAGAUGAAACCCAAUCUAUCAACUAAAACCUCUAGAGAUAUUGAAACACUAGUAAUGCAACUUGCAACAACUUUGCCGCUUCUCUAAAAAGUGUUCUAAACUCAGUUAGAUGGCCAUUGCAAACGGAAUUAUCAC